CAAAUCAAAUACAAUAUGUCUGACAUUUAUUUCAUUUUUGCUCAAUCUAUAGACUCCCAGAAAAAAGAAAUUAAAAAAAACAAAGAAAAUUUAAAUGAACAAACAGACCCUUUUGGAACCCACUGUGACAUGAGACGUGUCCACAAGGAGAGGUUUCAGGCACACACUGAAGGAGCAUCUGCUGGACAGUCCUCCCCGCCCCCAAGUCCUUACCAAACUGUGCCACUGCAUACCCUGUAAAAAGUGUGUGGUGGUUGGUAAUGGAGGAGUUUUGAAGAAUAAGACAUUAGGAGAAAAAAUCGACUCCUAUGAUGUAAUAAUAAGAAUGAAUAAUGGUCCUGUUUUAGGACAUGAAGAAGAAGUUGGGAGAAGGACAACCUUCCGACUUUUUUAUCCAGAAUCUGUUUUUUCAGAUCCUAUUCACAAUGACCCUAAUACGACAGUGAUUCUCACUGCUUUUAAGCCACAUGAUUUAAGGUGGCUGUUGGAAUUGUUGAUGGGUGACAAAAUAAACACUAAUGGUUUUUGGAAGAAACCAGCCUUAAAUCUGAUUUAUAAACCUUAUCAAAUCCGAAUAUUAGAUCCUUUCAUUAUCAGAACAGCAGCUUAUGAACUGCUUCAUUUUCCAAAAGUGUUUCCCAAAAAUCAGAAACCUAAACACCCAACAACAGGAAUUAUUGCCAUCACACUGGCGUUUUACAUAUGUCACGAAGUUCACCUAGCUGGUUUUAAAUACAACUUUUCUGACCUCAAGAGUCCUUUGCACUACUAUGGGAAUGCCACCAUGUCUUUGAUGAAUAAG
This 802-nucleotide small RNA is filed under the name Pongo abelii (Sumatran orangutan). RNAcentral describes it as "processed transcript". The record is from RNAcentral. Lineage: Eukaryota; Metazoa; Chordata; Mammalia; Primates; Hominidae.